UUUGGCAGGCCACCAGAGGAAGUGAAUCCCUGAGACUCUCCUGAUGCAAGACGAGCAAAGAAAAGGAAGCAGGCAAGGAGGGAAAAAGCAAUGGCAACAAAUACUGGUGAUCUCUUACAUGGGCAAGAUUGCAAAAUAGGAAGAGACCAAGGAGAAAGACAAACCACUUCUUUAAAGGUGAUGACUUCAUUUUGGGAGCAGACCCACCUCGACACCCAAGCGCCACGU
Molecule: long non-coding RNA, 228 nt
Organism: Calidris pugnax (ruff)
Lineage: Eukaryota; Metazoa; Chordata; Aves; Charadriiformes; Scolopacidae
Exons: 3
Source: RefSeq, a predicted model, not a curated record